This 253-nucleotide ribosomal RNA is filed under the name uncultured bacterium. Its description in RNAcentral is "partial 16S ribosomal RNA". It matches the Rfam family "Bacterial small subunit ribosomal RNA", at positions 524 to 776 of the family's 1533-position model. The record is from RNAcentral.
UACAGAGGUCUCAAGCGUUGUUCGGAUUCAUUGGGCGUAAAGCGUGCGUAGACGGUUAUUUAAGUCGGGUGUGAAAGCCCCGGGCUCAACCUGGGAAUUGCAUUCGAGACUGAAUAGCUAGGGUACGGUAGAGGGAAGCGGAAUUUCCGGUGUAGCGGUGAAAUGCGUAGAGAUGUGGAGGAACACCGAUGGCGAAGGCAGCCCCCUGGGCUAACACUGACGCUCAGGCACGAAAGCGUGGGGAGCAAACAGG